Molecule: ribosomal RNA, 497 nt
Filed under: uncultured bacterium
Lineage: Bacteria
Description: partial 16S ribosomal RNA
Rfam family: Bacterial small subunit ribosomal RNA
Source: RNAcentral
GAUGAACGCUGGCGGCGUGCCUAAUACAUGCAAGUCGAGCGAACAGACGAGGAGCUUGCUCCUCUGACGUUAGCGGCGGACGGGUGAGUAACACGUGGAUAACCUACCUAUAAGACUGGGAUAACUUCGGGAAACCGGAGCUAAUACCGGAUAAUCUAUUGAACCGCAUGGUUCAAUAGUGAAAGACGGUUUUGCUGUCACUUAUAGAUGGAUCCCCGCCGCAUUAGCUAGUUGGUAAGGUAACGGCUUACCAAGGCAACGAUGCGUAGCCGACCUGAGAGGGGGAUAGGCCACACUGGAACUGAGACACGGUCCAGACGCCUAAGGGAGGCAGCAGUAGGGAAUCUUCCGCAAUGGGCGAAAGCCUGACGGAGCAACGCCGCGUGAGUGAUGAAGGUCUUCGGAGCGUAAAACUCUGUUAUUAGGGAAGAACAAAUGUGUAAGUAACUAUGCACGUCUUGACGGUACCUAAUCAGAAAGCCACGGCUAACUACGUG